This 466-nucleotide ribosomal RNA is filed under the name uncultured bacterium. RNAcentral describes it as "bacterial SSU rRNA". It matches the Rfam family "Bacterial small subunit ribosomal RNA", at positions 29 to 507 of the family's 1533-position model. The record is from RNAcentral.
AACGAACGCUGGCGGCAGGCCUCAUACAUGCAAGUCGAGCGGACGUAUUCUUUCGGGAGUACGUUAGCGGCGAACGGGUGAGUAACAGGUGGAUAACCUGCCUUCUGGUGGGGGAUAACGGCUGGAAACGGCCGCUAAUACCGCAUGUGGUUGCCGGUCCGCGGACCGGUAAAGAAAGGCGCCGCAAGGCGUCGCCAGAAGAUGGGUCCGCCCCCCAUUAGCUAGUUGGCGGGAUAACAGCCCACCAAGGCAACGAUGGGUAGCCGGACUGAGAGGUUGGCCGGCCACACUGGAACUGAGACACGGUCCAGACACCUACGGGUGGCAGCAAUAGGGAAUAUUGCAAAAUGGGCGCAAGCCUGAUGCAGCAACGCCGCGUGAGCGAAGAAGGCCUUUGGGUCGUAAAGCUCUGUCGGGUAGGAAGAUAAUGACGGUACUACCCGAGGAAGCCCCGGCUAACUACGUG